UAUCAACAGGUAGUGUGGUAUCCACUCCUAAGGCUGGGUGAUUGGCUAAAAGCGCAUUGCUCUUCUCCUACUACCGACAGCGCGGCAACAGUGACAACAAACUCAAUCACAAUGUCCUCGUCAAAUAAGCAGACCGUGCGUGUCACUUACAUCUGGUUGUCCGGCAAAGAUUCACAUCAUGAUAUUCGCAGCAAGGACCGAACGAUGUACCUGUCUCAGGAGCAUGUUGCAAAGCACCCGAAGGACUUGCUUGCCAAUGGCGUUUUCCCGGUCUGGAAUUUCGACGGCUCUUCCACUGGUCAGGCGAAGGGGCUAGACACUGAAAUUCUGCUGAAGCCUGUUAAUGCGUUUCCGUGCUGCCUCCCAAGGACGUCGUCAAAGAUUCCGUGGAUCUUGGUGCUCGCUGAGUGCUACCUUCCUAGCGGCGAGCCGACAAGAGACAAUUCUCGUGCCACAGCUCGCGAAACAUUCGAGCAGUGCCCCGAGGAGCAUCCGUGGUUUGGCCUGGAGCAGGAGUACUUUAUCAUGGGACGUGAUGGGCGCCCUUAUGGAUGGCCCGCUCACGGAUUUCCCGCGCCGCAGGGGGCGUACUACUGCAGCACCGGCUCGAAGUCAGCGUGGGGUCGCAAGUUCUGCGACCAGCACUACGAGGUGUGCCUCGAGAUGGGGCUGAACAUAUCAGGCACGAACGCAGAGGUGACUCCUGGACAGUGGGAGUUCCAGAUAGGCCCCUGCGAAGGCCUCGAGAUGGGCGAUCAGCUGACUGUUGCGCGCUGGGUGCUUUUGCGUCUGCUGGAGGAAGAGGGUCUGGAUGCGGACUACCACGCGAAACCGAUUCAGGGUGACUGGAAUGGAAGCGGCCUGCAUACAAACUUCUCGACUGAAUCGACCCGCGCUGAAAACGGCCUUGAGGUCAUUCAUCAGUAUAUCGACCGCCUCAGCAAGACCGUUAGCAAAGAUAUCGUAUUUUAUGGAUCCGAGAACAACGAGCGGCUUACAGGCAAGCACGAGACGUCGAAGGUAUCUGAGUUCAGCGCUGGCGUGGGUACCCGCUGUACUUCGAUUCGCAUCCCCAACGCGGUCGCCAGUGAGGGAAAGGGAUACAUGGAGGAUCGCCGCCCUGCUGGUGAUGCCGACCCGUACUUGGUGACCUCGCGUCUUUUUGCCUCGUGCAUCGGCUUGGAGACACCGUCUCUCGAUCUGGCGUCUCCGACACACGAGAGGGACUGGAUGCGUAAUGCUUUCAAGUAAAGGGAAGCGACAGUGCGUAAGCUUGCGUCGGUAUCCCGCAGUCUCUGAGUUGUGAACUCUUUGGUCGACUCAUCCGUGUGACGAAAGUUCUAUUUUAAAUUGCUUUGGCGUAUUUGAAUUUGAUACCUUGUCCGUUUCCAAAUCGUAUUUACAACAUCAAUACCGAUCUUCGGCAGAGUUAGGGGGCACAAAGAAACACCGGCGAACAAAAAGUAUGUAAAGGAUGACAGAUAAAUGAUUCGCUUCUUGUACGGCUACUAUUGUGACUCUUUAUUGAGACUCAAGUGUGCUCAGCCAGUGCGAGAAUUUUUGCCGUUAUAAUUAAAAAAAAAACGGUGUGUUCGCAUCUCUGCCAUAUAAAACUCUUUUUUUUGCGUUGUUUUUUUGUUUCCUUUUUAUCAUUCACCCUUUAACCAAAAGAACCUAUUUUUCGCUAUGACCCAACUUGAUUGAGCCGUUGGGCAUAGAGACGGGCUUUGUCUUGAUUGUUUAAAAGGAGUGAGGUCUGUGAAAAGUAACACAACCGUGUAUGCUGUAGUAAGUUUGCUUUUUUUUUCGUUCCUCAAGGAGGAGUCCCAUCGAUAGCGUCUCUUUUCGGUACCGUUGAGAAUGUUUGGGGUCG
This 1873-nucleotide unclassified non-coding RNA is filed under the name Leishmania donovani. RNAcentral describes it as "gene:LdHU3.06.0460(CDS-product:glutamine_syntheta se_putative)". Lineage: Eukaryota; Euglenozoa; Kinetoplastea; Trypanosomatida; Trypanosomatidae. The record is from RNAcentral.